RNAcentral lists this ribosomal RNA (253 nucleotides) under uncultured bacterium. RNAcentral describes it as "partial 16S ribosomal RNA". It matches the Rfam family "Bacterial small subunit ribosomal RNA", at positions 524 to 776 of the family's 1533-position model. The record is from RNAcentral.
UACGUAGGGUGCAAGCGUUGUCCGGAAUUAUUGGGCGUAAAGAGCUCGUAGGCGGUCAGUCGCGUCUGCUGUGAAAACUCGGGGCUUAACUCCGGGCCUGCAGUGGGUACGGGCUGACUAGAGUGCGGUAGGGGAGACUGGAAUUCCUGGUGUAGCGGUGAAAUGCGCAGAUAUCAGGAGGAACACCGGUGGCGAAGGCGGGUCUCUGGGCCGUAACUGACGCUGAGGAGCGAAAGCAUGGGGAGCGAACAGG